UACGUAGGAGGCAAGCGUUGUCCGGAAUUACUGGGCGUAAAGCGCGUGUAGGUGGUGGGACAAGUCUGCUGUGAAAGCGCCUGGCUUAACCGGGCGAGGUCGGCGGAAACUGUCCGACUAGAGGACGGUAGAGGGGGGUGGAAUUCCCGGUGUAGUGGUGAAAUGCGUAGAGAUCGGGAGGAACAUCAGUGGCGAAAGCGACUUCCUGGACCAGUACCGACGUUCAGGCACGAAAGCGUGGGGAGCAAACAGG
This 253-nucleotide ribosomal RNA is filed under the name uncultured bacterium. RNAcentral's name for it is "partial 16S ribosomal RNA". It matches the Rfam family "Bacterial small subunit ribosomal RNA", at positions 524 to 776 of the family's 1533-position model. The record is from RNAcentral.